CUUCCGUAAGGGUGNCCUGCGGAAGGAUCAUUACAGAAUGAAAGUGCUUAACUGCAUUUUUUUACACAUGUGUUUUUCUUUUUUUGAAAACUUUGCUUUGGUGGGCCCACGGCCUGCCAGAGAUUAAACUCAACCAAAUUUUAUUUAAAGUCAACUGAUUAACUAAUAGUCAAAACUUUCAACAACGGAUCUCUUGGUUCUCGCAUCGAUGAAGAACGCAGCGAAAUGCGAUAAGUAAUAUGAAUUGCAGAUAUUCGUGAAUCAUCGAAUCUUUGAACGCACAUUGCGCCCUUUGGUAUUCCAAAGGGCAUGCCUGUUUGAGCGUCAUUUCUCCCUCAAACCUUCGGGUUUGGUGUUGAGCGAUACGCUGGGUUUGCUUGAAAGAAAGGCGGAGUAUAAACUAAUGGAUAGGUUUUUUUCCACUCAUUGGUACAAACUCCAAAAUUCUUCCAAAUUCGACCUCAAAUCAGGUAGGACUACCCGCUGAACUUAAGCAUAUCAAAAGCCGGAGGA
Molecule: ribosomal RNA, 513 nt
Filed under: Lodderomyces orthopsilosis
Lineage: Eukaryota; Fungi; Ascomycota; Pichiomycetes; Serinales; Debaryomycetaceae
Description: eukaryotic LSU rRNA
Rfam family: 5.8S ribosomal RNA (bases 174-327)
Source: RNAcentral